CCCCGCUCCGCGCUCCUCACCCGGGGGGAACCGCGGGGCUCCUCGCGGCGCUCCCCCGCCCUCCUUCAUACCUCCCUGAAAAUUCACGAGAAGCCAAUUUUUAGAAACGCUUUCUUUUUUAAUCUAUGUUGUUUUUUGUUUUUUGGUUUUUUUUUUUUUAACCCCCAACGCGUCCCUCACGAAUCUCCUCCCGCCCCGCGGCCGGCGACAAAAUGGCAGCGCUGCCCGUCAUGUCGGGAGGGCUCCGCCGCAACCUCCGCAGCGCCUCAGCCCCGGCGCCAGCGGGGCUCCCUCACGGCCCCGCGGGGCCGCCCGCGGCCGAGGCAGCGGCGGCGGCGGGAGGAGGAGGAGGAGGAGGCGGCGGCCGUGAGGGGAAGGCGGGGAGGGGGGGGGCAGCACAGAACAUGGCGCCGCGUCCUACUUGCGCUGCGGCGCUGCCCCGCUCGCCUCACGGAGCACCCCCGGCCAUGGCGGUUGCUCGCCGUCGAGUCCCCCCCGCCACCUCCUCCCUUUCGCCCUCCUCCUCCUCCUCUUCCUCCUCCUGCUCGCCCAGGAGUUUUUAAACUUUAAAGCGCAGCUUCCGCCGCUCCGCGCCCGCCUUUGUCCCCCCCACCCGCCCCCCCGCCUCUCUCUUUCCCCGGAGCACACCGCGCUCGGUUCGGCCGCCGCGUCCCGCCGCGCUGCCCGCUGAGCAUCUGGAGAGAGGGAGAGAGAGAGAGAAAGGGCGCGUUCAUGAGGACUACAAAGUUACAAAUAUGGCUCCCCAGUCUCUCUUGCCUGAUCACUGCAAAGAAAUGAAGACGCACUUUAAACUAAACCAUUCGCAACUCACUCGCAGUCCCUGCCUGCCUCUCCCUAGCCCAGCACCCUGCACAAAUAUUUGCCAACUAAACACGCCGAGAGAGAGAGCAGCGAGCAACUUAUUUUUUAUUUAAUGCACGGCCAGCCCCUCUCCGAGGCAUCGCAGCCCGGCACGGGCAGGAGCAGCCCCGGGGAGCCCCCGAACGUCCCCGGAGCGCCCAAAGCGGGGGGCACAGCCCCCCACACACACAGGAGCUGCUGGAUGAGGAUCCAAGCCCAAGAGCUGCUCUUUUCCAAGAAUUUUGGGAUUUCCAAACUCUUCCCAUCAGCUGGAGCAGAACUCAGGGCAGGAUGGAGAUAAAGUCUCAGCUGUGAGCAUGGAAAAAUUCCAGGAAUGUGGAUGAAAACAGCAGGAAUUCCAUUGGGAAUGGGACUGGAAAAGCUGGGUCCAGCACCAGGUGUGUCCAGAGGUGACUCCUGGGCUGAAUCUUCAGGAAUUUUUCAUGGAAUUUGUGCUCCUGGUGCUGCUGGAAACCUUUGGAAAAGAACUUUUCUCCUGGAAAAAAAAUUCCUGGGACAAGCUGGGAUUCAAAAGGAAUUUAUGGGAAUCCAGAGCUGCUUUUUUCUUUGUUUUUUUCCAAAGAAAAAUGUGGAUUUUGAUUGUGUGAAGGUGCAAAAAAUUCCUUUUUCUUUCAUUAUUCAGGGAAUUUAUUCCCAGUUCCAAGCCAGAAUUCCAUGUUUAAAGCUGCUUCUGCCAUUGUUUGUAUUCCAAGAGGUUGGGAAUUAAAAAAAAAAAAAAAUUUGGGAAUUAUAAUUUUGGGAAUAAAUUUAAAAGGAUAUUUUUCUAGGCUAUAA
Molecule: long non-coding RNA, 1656 nt
Organism: Oenanthe melanoleuca
Lineage: Eukaryota; Metazoa; Chordata; Aves; Passeriformes; Muscicapidae
Exons: 5
Source: RefSeq, a predicted model, not a curated record